CUGUGAGCUCGAUGAGUAGGGCGGGACACGUGGUAUCCUGUCUGAAUAUGGGGGGACCAUCCUCCAAGGCUAAAUACUCCUGACUGACCGAUAGUGAACCAGUACCGUGAGGGAAAGGCGAAAAGAACCCCGGCGAGGGGAGUGAAAAAGAACCUGAAACCGUGUACGUACAAGCAGUGGGAGCCUCUUAAUGGGGUGACUGCGUACCUUUUGUAUAAUGGGUCAGCGACUUAUAUUCUGUAGCAAGGUUAACCGAAUAGGGGAGCCGAAGGGAAACCGAGUCUUAACUGGGCGUUAAGUUGCAGGGUAUAGACCCGAAACCCGGUGAUCUAGCCAUGGGCAGGUUGAAGGUUGGGUAACACUAACUGGAGGACCGAACCGACUAAUGUUGAAAAAUUAGCGGAUGACUUGUGGCUGGGGGUGAAAGGCCAAUCAAACCGGGAGAUAGCUGGUUCUCCCCGAAAGCUAUUUAGGUAGCGCCUCGUGAAUUCAUCUCCGGGGGUAGAGCACUGUUUCGGCAAGGGGGUCAUCCCGACUUACCAACCCGAUGCAAACUGCGAAUACCGGAGAAUGUUAUCACGGGAGACACACGGCGGGUGCUAACGUCCGUCGUGAAGAGGGAAACAACCCAGACCGCCAGCUAAGGUCCCAAAGUCAUGGUUAAGUGGGAAACGAUGUGGGAAGGCCCAGACAGCCAGGAUGUUGGCUUAGAAGCAGCCAUCAUUUAAAGAAAGCGUAAUAGCUCACUGGUCGAGUCGGCCUGCGCGGAAGAUGUAACGGGGCUAAACCAUGCACCGAAGCUGCGGCAGCGACACUAUGUGUUGUUGGGUAGGGGAGCGUUCUGUAAGCCUGUGAAGGUGGCCUGUGAGGGUUGCUGGAGGUAUCAGAAGUGCGAAUGCUGACAUAAGUAACGAUAAAGCGGGUGAAAAGCCCGCUCGCCGGAAGACCAAGGGUUCCUGUCCAACGUUAAUCGGGGCAGGGUG
RNAcentral lists this ribosomal RNA (983 nucleotides) under Escherichia coli. RNAcentral describes it as "partial 23S ribosomal RNA". It matches the Rfam family "Bacterial large subunit ribosomal RNA", at positions 397 to 1381 of the family's 2925-position model. Lineage: Bacteria; Pseudomonadati; Pseudomonadota; Gammaproteobacteria; Enterobacterales; Enterobacteriaceae. The record is from RNAcentral.